CCUACGGGAGGCAGCAGUGGGGGAUAUUGCACAAUGGGGGGAACCCUGAUGCAGCGACGCCGCGUGGGUGAAGAAGCGCCUCGGCGCGUAAAGCCCUGUCAGCAGGGAAGAAAAUGACGGUACCUGACGAAGAAGCCCCGGCUAACUACGUGCCGGCAGCCGCGGUAAUACGUAGGGGGCAAGCGUUAUCCGGAUUUACUGGGUGUAAAGGGGGCGCAGACGGCGAUGCAAGCCAGGAGUGAAAGCCCGGGGCCCAACCCCGGGACUGCUCUUGGAACUGCGUGGCUGGAGUGCAGGAGGGGCAGGCGGAAUUCCUGGUGUAGCGGUGAAAUGCGUAGAUAUCAGGAGGAACACCGGUGGCGAAGGCGGCCUGCUGGACUGCAACUGACGUUGAGGCCCGAAAGCGUGGGGAGCAAACAGGAUUAGAUACCCGAGUAGUC
RNAcentral lists this ribosomal RNA (440 nucleotides) under uncultured bacterium. RNAcentral's name for it is "partial 16S ribosomal RNA". It matches the Rfam family "Bacterial small subunit ribosomal RNA", at positions 338 to 795 of the family's 1533-position model. The record is from RNAcentral.